UUGUUCCUCUGCCUGCCACUCUGUUAACUAAAAAAUUCAAACCUCCUGCUUUCAAACCCACAAAAAGAGUUCUUCAAUGAAUGAUUCUCCGUCUUCUGCAUCUUGUAAACAAAACUUAUCGUCCCCAUCUAAUCAUAUAUACUAACACUCUUGGCUCCAUAACAUACCCAUGGAGUCUGAGUUUCCCCUGGAAUAGGAUAUCUCAUCUACCAAUUUUAAAAUCCCAUCUUCAAUCCUCUCCAAAGAAUAAAAAAAAUCGAAUUUCUCAACCAUGGCGCAACACUCUCAUUAUCAAAUUGGUUGGCCAUCCACUCUCUUUCUACCAAGCUCCAGAAAUUACGGAAAACAAAUUCUGCUUUUUUCAUCACAGAACUUGGUUCUAGCUGUUUCCUUAAUAAAUUCUCAAAUAUUGAAGAUUAUUUUACUGUUCUUGGUGGUGGCCAUUGGUUUCUUUUCAACUACUACCUUAUGGUUCAAAGAUGGCAACCAGAUUUUCGUUCGUGGAAAAUAAUUUCCAAUUCUCUGGGGUAUGGAUACAACUUCCUGAAUCGCCCAUUGAAUAUUAUGAUCAUCUUGUUCCGUAUCAAAAAGUUUGUUAAUAGGGAAGCUUAUUAAAAAUGAUGCUCAAACAGGGUAUGCUCUAGAGGAUGAUAUGCAAGAAUUUCUUAAGUUACGGGAAAUAAACAAUUAUGCAAGUUUCGGAUGGUGCGGGGCGAAGUCGGAGGUGUUUCUUCCUUUUCGGUUCGAACUCGGAUUUUAGAAUUCAAAUUUCGAACGAGGCGGGUCAGGGCAAGGAAAAUCUGCCCCGACCCAUUGCCCUACAGCCGACCCAAUCCAUUUACUCUGUCAAAACGGUGGAGGUCCGGAUAUAACCGAAAAGUGUGGGGUAACCCGUGAUCUUUCUUUUUUAUUUUGCCACAAAAGUCAGUUGAUAACGGCACGUUACCGUAAAAACAGAGCGAAAAACGGAGAAAACGGAGGGAAACGCCAAAAAGGAGAAAGAAAUGGUAGCGAUUUCUUUGUACAGAGGGAACCUCCACAGAGCACCGGACAUUCCUCGGCGAUGGCUAAUGCCGACUCCCAAAAUCUCUCUCAAAGACUUCAAAACCCUCUUGCACUGCCGCAACAAAGCCCUCUCUCGUCUCCGUUCCUCUUCUUCCUCCUCUAACCCUAACCCUAAUCCCGAUUUAAAACCUCAAGUUCAAUCUCCCAUGCCUAAUGGGCUUCCUAUUGUGCCCAAAUUGAAAGCGCAAGUUGAGUCUGAACGGCCCGAGGAUUUGAAAACUGGACCACCUCCCGUGGAGGUAGUUGGAGGAUCUGACGGUGGAGCUUGUUUGAUGAACCCUGAAGAUGAGCAGACCGAGAAAGAUGACAAUUUACAAGUGGGUGAGAAACCGGCUGAGGAGACAAAAAGAAAUGUAGAGGUAAUUGAAAAAGUAAAUGAUUUGAAUGAAAAAGAGAAAAGGAAAAGGGUUGUUGAGGAGAAGUUACAAGUUUUGAAUGCAAAGAAGCAUAAUUUAGUACAAGUGCUAAGGCAGAUCCUGAAUGUGGAGGAGGAAUUGAAGAGAAGAAAUAGCACACAAGGUACCGCUAUUCGUCCAGCUGUUCCACUUCAAGUGGAAACCACGAAUGACUCUGGGUCAAUGACUAGGCUUGUCACUUCCAGGAUGGGUUCGGAGGCUAAUCUUGCUGGUGAAAAUGAAGGAGGUGAAGCUGAUGAUGUUUCAAACCUUAACAUUCAUUCUCGUCAUGUGUUUCGCAUGAGCAGUACAUCACCAUCUUCAGAAUCUCCCCUUAGAAGACCUAGCUACUUUCAACAAAAUGUGGUUCCCCACCCCUCUCGAGCUAUCAUGGGGGUCACAGGUAGCCCAUCACGCUUUGCUCCUACUGGAAAUCAAGGUCAUCCUGGAAAUCCUCCCGCUGUAUCUGUGUCAGGAACAAAUUAUGUUGCAUCAUCUCCUUCCCCUGCAGCAUCUGGUGGCACUUCAGUUUUCGGAGAGGCUUGGCAGCCAAGCCCAUGGAAUUAGAAUCUGUAGCCCAUUGAACUCUAAAUGUGACUUGAGCCUCUAACAUGUGUAUGUGAGCUUAGCAACAUUCAAGUCCUUUUUGGUUCUUCCUGCUUAAGCUAAACGGAGAAUAUCAGUUCUCAAUCUUAUGUCAGAUUAUCAGGGAUUUGGUCCGGCAAAAUUAUGGGUGAGGGAAAAUGGAAGGCUAAUAAUGUUCUUUGUAACAACAAUAUGUUCUCCAAUUUAAGAGAAAAUAACAGGUUGAAGCUGGCCUGAAAGGGCAGGGGUCCUCACCUUGCAUUGCGGCAUUGCCACUCUGAAGCACCCACUGAUUCAAUAUCAAAGCCUUUCCACAGAGGAAUGAUCAAAGUCAACGGUCAAGACAGACAUCACAGACCUCCAUCUCCUCCACCCUUGGUUGGCGCAUGUGAGAAGAUUAGAAAAACAGCCCAGGCCCUCCACACAUGUGCGAGGUGUCCUUAUCCAGUGAACCCACCACAGUCCACAAGCCCCUGAAACGAACCCCCCCCCCCAAAAAAA
This is a non-coding RNA of Durio zibethinus, 2546 nucleotides long. The record is from RefSeq and is a predicted model, not a curated record. NCBI's taxonomy places the organism in Eukaryota, Viridiplantae, Streptophyta, Magnoliopsida, Malvales, Malvaceae.